Non-coding RNA from Oryza brachyantha (malo sina), 203 nucleotides. The record is from Rfam. NCBI's taxonomy places the organism in Eukaryota, Viridiplantae, Streptophyta, Magnoliopsida, Poales, Poaceae.
AAAGAGUGUAUUUUUGCAUUGUUUGGGUUUAACGUUUGACUGUCCGUCUUAUUUAAAAAAGUUUUAUGAUUAGAAUUUUUAUUAUUACUAGAUGAUAAAACAUGAAUAAUAUUUUAUCUGUGACUAUUUUUAAAAAUAUAAAAAAAAUUCAAAUAAUACGAACAGUGAAACGCGAGACAUGAAAAUCUAUAAAUGCAAUUAAU